GAACUUCUUCGUUAGGUGAGGCUCCUGCAUAAACACAGGCCACUGCCCGGAAACGUCGAAAGACGCCAAUGGGUAGAACAGGUAUUACCGAAUUAAGGUUUUACUCAAGGUGGCUGAGGAAUAGUGUACCUCUACGUUAUGCAGUGCUAAAACUCAACGAUUGGAGAAGGUC
Pelosinus fermentans B4 is the source of this 172-nucleotide non-coding RNA. NCBI's taxonomy places the organism in Bacteria, Bacillati, Bacillota, Negativicutes, Selenomonadales, Sporomusaceae. The record is from Rfam.